AACGAACGCUGGCGGCAGGCCUAACACAUGCAAGUCGAGCGAGGACUUCGGUUCUAGCGGCGGACGGGUGAGUAACGCGUGGGAAUGUGCCCUUCUCUACGGAAUAGCCCUGGGAAACUGGGAGUAAUACCGUAUACGCCCUAUUGGGGACAGAUUUAUCGGAGAAGGAUCAGCCCGCGUUGGAUUAGGUAGUUGGUGGGGUAAUGGCCUACCAAGGCGACGAUCCAUAGCUGGUUUGAGAGGAUGGUCAGCCACACUGGGACUGAGAAACGGCCCAGACUCCUACGGGAGGCAGCAGUGGGGGAUCUUAGACAAUGGGGGCAAUGCUGAUCUAGCCAUGCCGCGUGAGUGAUGAAGGCCUUAGGGUUGUAAAGCUCUUUCAGCUGGGAAGAUAAUGACGGUACCAGAAGAAGAAGCCCCGGCUAACUCCGUG
RNAcentral lists this ribosomal RNA (433 nucleotides) under uncultured bacterium. Its description in RNAcentral is "partial 16S ribosomal RNA". It matches the Rfam family "Bacterial small subunit ribosomal RNA", at positions 29 to 507 of the family's 1533-position model. The record is from RNAcentral.